UACGUAGGUGGCAAGCGUUGUCCGGAUUUACUGGGCGUAAAGAGCGCGCAGGCGGUCGUUCAAGUCGCGUGUGAAAGCCCCGGCUCAACUGGGAGGGUCACGCGAUACUGAUCGACUCGAAGGCAGGAGAGGGUAGUGGAAUUCCCGGUGUAGUGGUGAAAUGCGUAGAUAUCGGGAGGAACACCAGUGGCGAAGGCGACUACCUGGCCUGUUCUUGACGCUGAGGCGCGAAAGCUAGGGAGCAAACGGG
Molecule: ribosomal RNA, 250 nt
Filed under: uncultured bacterium
Lineage: Bacteria
Description: partial 16S ribosomal RNA
Rfam family: Bacterial small subunit ribosomal RNA
Source: RNAcentral